RNAcentral lists this ribosomal RNA (497 nucleotides) under uncultured bacterium. Its description in RNAcentral is "partial 16S ribosomal RNA". It matches the Rfam family "Bacterial small subunit ribosomal RNA", at positions 28 to 507 of the family's 1533-position model. The record is from RNAcentral.
GAUGAACGCUGGCGGCGUGCCUAAUACAUGCAAGUCGAGCGAACAGACGAGGAGCUUGCUCCUCUGACGUUAGCGGCGGACGGGUGAGUAACACGUGGAUAACCUACCUAUAAGACUGGGAUAACUUCGGGAAACCGGAGCUAAUACCGGAUAAUAUAUUGAACCGCAUGGUUCAAUAGUGAAAGACGGUUUUGCUGUCACUUAUAGAUGGAUCCGCGCCGCAUUAGCUAGUUGGUAAGGUAACGGCUUACCAAGGCAACGAUGCGUAGCCGACCUGAGAGGGUGAUCGGCCACACUGGAACUGAGACACGGUCCAGACUCCUACGGGAGGCAGCAGUAGGGAAUCUUCCGCAAUGGGCGAAAGCCUGACGGAGCAACGCCGCGUGAAUGAUAAAGGUCCUCGGAUCGUAAAACUCUGUUAUUAGGGAAGAACAAAUGUGUAAGUAACUAUGCACGUCUUGACGGUACCUAAUCAGAAAGCCACGGCUAACUACGUG